This 253-nucleotide ribosomal RNA is filed under the name uncultured bacterium. RNAcentral describes it as "partial 16S ribosomal RNA". It matches the Rfam family "Bacterial small subunit ribosomal RNA", at positions 524 to 776 of the family's 1533-position model. The record is from RNAcentral. RNAcentral also lists the same sequence under 1 other name.
AACGUAGGUUCCGAGCGUUAUCCGGAUUUACUGGGCGUAAAGCGUGUUCAGGCGGCUCAGCAAGUCGGGCAUGAAAUCUCUCGGCUCAACCGGGAGGGGCUGUCCGAUACUGCUGGGCUUGAGGGCAGUAGAGGGUGGUGGAAUUCCGGGUGUAGUGGUGAAAUGCGUAGAUAUCCGGAGGAACACCAGUGGCGAAAGCGGCCACCUGGACUGUACCUGACGCUCAAACACGAAAGCUAGGGGAGCGAACGGG